This 425-nucleotide ribosomal RNA is filed under the name uncultured bacterium. RNAcentral's name for it is "partial 16S ribosomal RNA". It matches the Rfam family "Bacterial small subunit ribosomal RNA", at positions 354 to 796 of the family's 1533-position model. The record is from RNAcentral.
GUGGGGAAUCUUGCGCAAUGGGCGAAAGCCUGACGCAGCCAUGCCGAGUGAAUGAUGAAGGUCUUAGGAUUGUAAAAUUCUUUCACCGGGGACGAUAAUGACGGUACCCGGAGAAGAAGCUCCGGCUAACUUCGUGCCAGCAGCCGCGGUAAUACGAAGGGGGCUAGCGUUGCUCGGAAUUACUGGGCGUAAAGGGCGCGUAGGCGGACAGCUUAGUCAGAGGUGAAAGCCCAGGGCUCAACCUUGGAAUUGCCUUUGAUACUGGCUGUCUUGAGUUUGGGAGAGGUGAGUGGAACUCCGAGUGUAGAGGUGAAAUUCGUAGAUAUUCGGAAGAACACCAGUGGCGAAGGCGACUCACUGGCCCAAUACUGACGCUGAGGCGCGAAAGCGUGGGGAGCAAACAGGAUUAGAUACCCGUGUAGUCC